GGGUUGUGAGGUUAAGCGACUAAGCGUACACGGUGGAUGCCCUGGCAGUCAGAGGCGAUGAAGGACGUGCUAAUCUGCGAUAAGCGUCGGUAAGGUGAUAUGAACCGUUAUAACCGGCGAUUUCCGAAUGGGGAAACCCAGUGUGAUUCGUCACACUAUCAUUAACUGAAUCCAUAGGUUAAUGAGGCGAACCGGGGGAACUGAAACAUCUAAGUACCCCGAGGAAAAGAAAUCAACCGAGAUUCCCCCAGUAGCGGCGAGCGAACGGGGGAGGAGCCCAGAGCCUGAAUCAGUGUGUGUGUUAGUGGAAGCGUCUGGAAAGGCGCGCGAUACAGGGUGACAGCCCCGUACACAAAAAUACACAUAUUGUGAGCUCGAUGAGUAGGGCGGGACACGUGGUAUCCUGUCUGAAUAUGGGGGGGACCAUCCUCCAAGGCUAAAUACUCCUGACUGACCGAUAGUGAACCAGUACCGUGAGGGAAAGGCGAAAAGAACCCCGGCGAGGGGAGUGAAAAAGAACCUGAAACCGUGUACGUACAAGCAGUGGGAGCACGCUUAGGCGUGUGACUGCGUACCUUUUGUAUAAUGGGUCAGCGACUUAUAUUCUGUAGCAAGGUUAACCGAAUAGGGGAGCCGAAGGGAAACCGAGUCUUAACUGGGCGUUAAGUUGCAGGGUAUAGACCCGAAACCCGGUGAUCUAGCCAUGGGCAGGUUGAAGGUUGGGUAACACUAACUGGAGGACCGAACCGACUAAUGUUGAAAAAUUAGCGGAUGACUUGUGGCUGGGGGUGAAAGGCCAAUCAAACCGGGAGAUAGCUGGUUCUCCCCGAAAGCUAUUUAGGUAGCGCCUCGUGAAUUCAUCUCCGGGGGUAGAGCACUGUUUCGGCAAGGGGGUCAUCCCGACUUACCAACCCGAUGCAAACUGCGAAUACCGGAGAAUGUUAUCACGGGAGACACACGGCGGGUGCUAACGUCCGUCGUGAAGAGGGAAACAACCCAGACCGCCAGCUAAGGUCCCAAAGUCAUGGUUAAGUGGGAAACGAUGUGGGAAGGCCCAGACAGCCAGGAUGUUGGCUUAGAAGCAGCCAUCAUUUAAAGAAAGCGUAAUAGCUCACUGGUCGAGUCGGCCUGCGCGGAAGAUGUAACGGGGCUAAACCAUGCACCGAAGCUGCGGCAGCGACGCUUAUGCGUUGUUGGGUAGGGGAGCGUUCUGUAAGCCUGUGAAGGUGUGCUGUGAGGCAUGCUGGAGGUAUCAGAAGUGCGAAUGCUGACAUAAGUAACGAUAAAGCGGGUGAAAAGCCCGCUCGCCGGAAGACCAAGGGUUCCUGUCCAACGUUAAUCGGGGCAGGGUGAGUCGACCCCUAAGGCGAGGCCGAAAGGCGUAGUCGAUGGGAAACAGGUUAAUAUUCCUGUACUUGGUGUUACUGCGAAGGGGGGACGGAGAAGGCUAUGUUGGCCGGGCGACGGUUGUCCCGGUUUAAGCGUGUAGGCUGGUUUUCCAGGCAAAUCCGGAAAAUCAAGGCUGAGGCGUGAUGACGAGGCACUACGGUGCUGAAGCAACAAAUGCCCUGCUUCCAGGAAAAGCCUCUAAGCAUCAGGUAACAUCAAAUCGUACCCCAAACCGACACAGGUGGUCAGGUAGAGAAUACCAAGGCGCUUGAGAGAACUCGGGUGAAGGAACUAGGCAAAAUGGUGCCGUAACUUCGGGAGAAGGCACGCUGAUAUGUAGGUGAAGUCCCUUGCGGAUGGAGCUGAAAUCAGUCGAAGAUACCAGCUGGCUGCAACUGUUUAUUAAAAACACAGCACUGUGCAAACACGAAAGUGGACGUAUACGGUGUGACGCCUGCCCGGUGCCGGAAGGUUAAUUGAUGGGGUCAGCGCAAGCGAAGCUCUUGAUCGAAGCCCCGGUAAACGGCGGCCGUAACUAUAACGGUCCUAAGGUAGCGAAAUUCCUUGUCGGGUAAGUUCCGACCUGCACGAAUGGCGUAAUGAUGGCCAGGCUGUCUCCACCCGAGACUCAGUGAAAUUGAACUCGCUGUGAAGAUGCAGUGUACCCGCGGCAAGACGGAAAGACCCCGUGAACCUUUACUAUAGCUUGACACUGAACAUUGAGCCUUGAUGUGUAGGAUAGGUGGGAGGCUUGGAAGUGUGGACGCCAGUCUGCAUGGAGCCGACCUUGAAAUACCACCCUUUAAUGUUUGAUGUUCUAACGUUGACCCGUAAUCCGGGUUGCGGACAGUGUCUGGUGGGUAGUUUGACUGGGGCGGUCUCCUCCUAAAGAGUAACGGAGGAGCACGAAGGUUGGCUAAUCCUGGUCGGACAUCAGGAGGUUAGUGCAAUGGCAUAAGCCAGCUUGACUGCGAGCGUGACGGCGCGAGCAGGUGCGAAAGCAGGUCAUAGUGAUCCGGUGGUUCUGAAUGGAAGGGCCAUCGCUCAACGGAUAAAAGGUACUCCGGGGAUAACAGGCUGAUACCGCCCAAGAGUUCAUAUCGACGGCGGUGUUUGGCACCUCGAUGUCGGCUCAUCACAUCCUGGGGCUGAAGUAGGUCCCAAGGGUAUGGCUGUUCGCCAUUUAAAGUGGUACGCGAGCUGGGUUUAGAACGUCGUGAGACAGUUCGGUCCCUAUCUGCCGUGGGCGCUGGAGAACUGAGGGGGGCUGCUCCUAGUACGAGAGGACCGGAGUGGACGCAUCACUGGUGUUCGGGUUGUCAUGCCAAUGGCACUGCCCGGUAGCUAAAUGCGGAAGAGAUAAGUGCUGAAAGCAUCUAAGCACGAAACUUGCCCCGAGAUGAGUUCUCCCUGACUCCUUGAGAGUCCUGAAGGAACGUUGAAGACGACGACGUUGAUAGGCCGGGUGUGUAAGCGCAGCGAUGCGUUGAGCUAACCGGUACUAAUGAACCGUGAGGCUUAACCUUACAACGCCGAAGCUGUU
Molecule: ribosomal RNA, 2932 nt
Filed under: Escherichia coli
Lineage: Bacteria; Pseudomonadati; Pseudomonadota; Gammaproteobacteria; Enterobacterales; Enterobacteriaceae
Description: bacterial LSU rRNA
Rfam family: Bacterial large subunit ribosomal RNA
Source: RNAcentral